AAUAUAUGACGCCGUUGACUUUUCUCACGUGUUUGACCAUUCGUCUUAUUUAAAAAAUUUACGUAAUUAUAAUUUAUUUUGUUAUGAGUUGUUUUAUCACUCAUAGUACUUUAAGUGUGAUUUAUAUCUUACACAUUUGCAUAGAAUUUUUGAAUAAAACGAAUGGUCAAACAUGUGAGAAAAAAGUCAAUGGCGUCAUUUAUU
This is a non-coding RNA of Oryza glaberrima (African rice), 204 nucleotides long. NCBI's taxonomy places the organism in Eukaryota, Viridiplantae, Streptophyta, Magnoliopsida, Poales, Poaceae. The record is from Rfam.